Long non-coding RNA from Rhinopithecus roxellana (golden snub-nosed monkey), 622 nucleotides. RefSeq lists it as uncharacterized. The record is from RefSeq and is a predicted model, not a curated record. The transcript is spliced from 3 exons. Lineage: Eukaryota; Metazoa; Chordata; Mammalia; Primates; Cercopithecidae.
AACCGUUAGGGACGCUGAGGGGAUGGUGCGGGUGCGGAAAGGGGACCCUGGGUAGGCGGACGGCGCGAGGACGGCUAGGGGACGGCGCGGGCCAAGAAGGACGGCGGCGGAGCUGGCACCACGCGCUGCCCGGCCGCAGGGUCGAGACGAGCGAAGGAGGAAGAGCCAGGAGAGCUCGGGAGCAGCGCGGACAGAACCAGACGUCUGGCCGCCUCUCCCGACCUGCUUCCUGUGUUGUUCCCCCUGCUUCUCCCGGUUCUGUCGGCCCAACUCUUUCGGCAUCGCGGCUCCAGGUGAUUCGGAGAAGUCCGAGGAGCAGAAUCUGGGCCCUCUCUGGCACUGCACUAGUGGGAGAAGGAGGACGCUGUCUUGGUACUGCCAAGUGAAGAUGGAAGUCCAGCUUCCCCCUCGGCUUCUGUUGACACCCCAGGGAGGCAGUUCCUCGUUACUUCAGAACAGAACAAAGACCUGCAACUACAGCCCUCAGUUUGGUAAACAAAGUUUUACUGGAACACCACCUAUUUUUGUAAAGAAAGUUUUAUUGGAACAUAGCCGCACCCAUUUGUUUGUGUAUUAUCUAUGACUGUUUGGUGCUACACACUGUCUUUAUUAUUGUAACUUU